This 253-nucleotide ribosomal RNA is filed under the name uncultured bacterium. Its description in RNAcentral is "partial 16S ribosomal RNA". It matches the Rfam family "Bacterial small subunit ribosomal RNA", at positions 524 to 776 of the family's 1533-position model. The record is from RNAcentral.
UACGGAGGGUGCGAACGUUAAUCGGAAUUACUGGGCGUAAAGCGCACGUAGGCGGUCCGUUAAGUGGGAUGUGAAAGCCCCGGGCUCAACCUGGGAAUUGCAUUCCAAACUGACGGGCUAGAGUACGAUAGAGGGAGGUAGAAUUUCCUGUGUAGCGGUGAAAUGCGUAGAUAUAGGAAGGAAUACCUGUGGCGAAGGCGGCCUCCUGGAUCGAUACUGACGCUGAGGUGCGAAAGCGUGGGGAGCAAACAGG